Molecule: long non-coding RNA, 1478 nt
Filed under: Homo sapiens (human)
Lineage: Eukaryota; Metazoa; Chordata; Mammalia; Primates; Hominidae
Description: non-protein coding lnc-TSPYL1-2:3
Source: RNAcentral
CAAAGGGAGACCUAUAGGUUAAUUGUUUAGUUAUAGGCAGUGUUAAAUUAGGCAGAUUUUGACAUAUUUAUCUUUUUACCCCAUCCAUUCUACCAAAACCUGUGUAUUUCUUGAGUUUUUAGUUUGAGAAGCUGGAAAGAGAGAGAAGGGCCUCACAGUGAUGGGUUCAGGACGGGUCAAAGGCAAAGGCCUUUGUGAUGUGAGCAAAGGCAACCAAAACUUAGCCUCACUCCACUUUUCUAAAGAUGGAAAUUCUUUUUUGGGCCUUGGACUGCUUCUAGGGUAGCAUUUUGUAGGUCACUCUUCUCCUUUGUACUAUUUUGUUUCUGCCCUGAUGUCCCUUGGGUCUCCAUCCUACUGCCUGGCUUUCUUGGCCCUCAUUUCUCAGCUUCUGCAUUUCCUUCCCUGCUCCUAACAAAUGAAGAAGCAGGCUGCAGCCUGCAUUGUGGAAGAUCUCCAGCCUCCUUGUAGGGGAUAAGGGGAUGUGCAGCAUCUGUGUGGAUUUUCACGGACAAGUUCCAGUAGGUGGGACAGUGAUGCCGUCAAGGCUUAGUUAUGAUCAUGUGUGGUGAUAAAGACCAUCCACCAUCACCCUUUUCCCCUUUGGUUUUGAAGGCCUUGCCCUAAGCUACCUGAGGGUUUAGGAGGUCUGAACACACACAGUGGAGAGGUUAAUCUAGGUUGGGAAACUGAGUAAAAGUCCAGAGCAGGAAUGAGCCUGCUGUGGCGUGGGUUUGGAAAGGCUCACAGGAAAGAACCUGCAGGAUCAGGGGUGGGAGGGGAGGCCCCUGAGGUGCUCUCCAGGGAAGAGGGGCUGGGGUUUAAAUAGCAUGCUUGGAGGAAGAUUUUCCUUCAAUUUUUCCUAAGUCCUUGAAUUCACCAGUAGAUUUUUGUAAACAAAAUGUAAGUCGAUGUUUUCUCUCAAUUAUCCUAGGAGUGACCUUUAUAUGUGUGGAAGAUUAAUGGUAUAUGCUCCUUAUGUCACUGUUUUUGAGUAAAAUCCAUUUCCUUUCUCUGUUUCAGCCUAUGACAAAAUUGAUGUUUACAGGCCUGCUUUUUGCUUAUAAUUGACAACAUGUGCAAAAAUACCAAAUUUGUGUCCUGUGCAGUAUGAAGAAUUCAGUGAAUAUUCAUUAAUGUAUUAGCUUGUUUUGCUCUCUGUUCAUAUAUGGCUCUAUUCUUAGAAAUAUAAUUUGAAUGUGAUCUUUCAAUAGUCUGAAUAUUUUACAAAUUAUAGCUAUGUCUUGUGAAAAUAACCUCAAAAAGAAAAAUACGACUCUGUUGUCUUACUUGAUAUUUCUUGCCCUAGUAAUGUACUUGACAUUUAUGUUCCUAAGCAGUGUAAGUACCAGUAGAAUUUCUCUGUCAAACUCAAUGAUCAUUUAGUACUUUUGUCUUCUCCCAUGUGCUUGAAGGAAAAAUAAAGUGUCACUACCGUAUUUCUUGUUUUCAUCAAAAAAUAAAAAUAAUUUAAAAAA